RNAcentral lists this ribosomal RNA (479 nucleotides) under uncultured bacterium. Its description in RNAcentral is "bacterial SSU rRNA". It matches the Rfam family "Bacterial small subunit ribosomal RNA", at positions 29 to 482 of the family's 1533-position model. The record is from RNAcentral.
AACGAACGCUGGCGGCGUGCUUAACACAUGCAAGUCGAACGAGAAAGCGGGCUUCGGUCCGCUAGUAAAGUGGCAGACGGGUGAGUAACACGUGGGUAACCUGCCCGGAGGUGGGGGACAACCCUCCGAAAGGAGGGCUAAUACCGCAUGAUAUCCCUGAGGCUUCGGCCUUGAGGAUCAAAGCUAGCCUCUACAUGUAAGCUAGCUCCACCGGAGGGGCCCGCGGCCCAUUAGCUAGUUGGNGAGGUAACGGCUCACCAAGGCGACGAUGGGUAGCCGGCCUGAGAGGGUGUUCGGCCACACUGGAACUGAGACACGGUCCAGACUCCUACGGGAGCAGCAGUGAGGAAUCUUGCGCAAUGGGCGAAAGCCUGACGCAGCGACGCCGCGUGGAGGACGAAGGUCUUCGGAUCGUAAACUCCUGUCAAGUGGGACGAAGGCUGUUGGGAUGAAUAAGCCCAGCAGUUGACGGUACCGCU